UAUUUUAUUAUCUUAAUUAUAAGAAAUUUUAAAUAAAAUUAUAUUGUGAUCAGACGGAUUGAAAAUAAAUAAUUAGUUUAGUUUAGUUAGGUUAGGUUAGGUUAUUCAAUUUCAACUGACGUUUUACGUUUGUAUACGGCAUUACCAUAACGCCAGACUGGAAAGACUGGGGAAAAUCAAGAAAUAUAUUAGAAUUAAGCAACUCCAUGCAGAAAUUUGAAGCUUGUACCACUAUGACACAAGUAAGACUCGUUACCACUGGGUUAAUUAGUUAGGUUAUGGAAGGGUACACGACAAUGUGACGUCAUAUCCAUCAGCAAAAACCAAAGUGUUUGUUGAAGUGCUAACGUCCUCUCAAUGGCUCCUCUCUGACAUUCGACCUCCUGAGUGUGCAGUUCAAUAAUAAUAAUAAGUCACUCAGGAAAUAUUUGGCCAACAUUUCGGGCGAACACGACCUCAGGAAACUUCAGAAACCCGCCAUUUUAGGAUCUUCAUACAUCAUUCGAAAGACGCUUUCGUAAAAUAUGUAAUCAUCUCUAAAAAUAAAACUAUAUAAUAUAUGUAACACGUAUUAAAAACAAAAUGUAUUUCGGAAAUAUCUGCUGCACUAUGUACCUCAGGGACAAGGUUUUUCUCGGGUACGUGGAAGUAAAUAUCAUGUAAAGUGGUGAAUAGAUGGGAUAUAAUAAUAAUAAAUUAUUAGUGUUAGUGUUACAAGUGUCAUCUCUACUAGGUGGGACGUGACUACGCCCCAAGCCAUGAAGACGUAUGGGGUUAUGGAGGUCCAGUUCCAUACACUUCUAACCUCGGUACUAAGUUGAGGUGACUUUGCACUCUAACGCCCCGAGACAUGGCGCCCCAGCAUCCGUUGGAUAGGAGGCUGUGUGGACCCAAUCUCCGUCCGAGAACAAUCGACGUUUCUCCAAUACAAAAUAAAUAACAAUAACAUUGUAGCAGUUAUGACAGCAGCAAUGCUGGUUUAUUCACGAUGGCUCCAUCCUGAGGGCUGAAGUGACGAUGCCUGGAAUCGGAGGGAUUAAAUAAGGCGUCAGGAAAGGAAGUCUCAAGGACAUUGUCAAAUCAGGACGGAAUUCCAGCCCACAGCCCCCCCAAAAACCCAGAAGAACUUCAACGUGAUCGUCGUAACACCCGUGAAGACUGCAAAUGUCAUAAUAGCUAACAACUCUGAUUUAUUCCUCAACUGAAAAGAGCCUACCACACGCAGACACUAAUAAAACACACAACACUAAUAAAAUAUACUGAAAUGGAACACGUCAGAACAAAAUACAGUUAAUCAGAUUGUCAAUCUAGACACUUCUACGUAUAAAGUGUCCUGAGAGGAGACAGAAUUUUUUUCCAAAUACGUAAAAAAAUGCAUUUUUCGCUUACUGAAAGAACGUGUCUUAGUGAACUACUUGUUUGCCUUGCAGGCUCGUAGAUACAAACAGCGACCUUGAUAGAAUGACAGCUUAUUUUUAACUUUGAAAAUAAACAUCAGAGAUUAAUAAAAUAUCGAGAUGUCGUCUUGAAUAAAUUAUUCUAAAAUGAGAACAUAAUUGGGUAAAAUAUCGAUCUCAGAAUAUCAGUUGUUUUGUAACUUUGUUUCUAAUUUAGUAACAAUCUCGUCUAAUCUGUUCUGUUUGCAACAACAGGGGUUAGAUGUUUCAAAAUUUGCGUUCCCUCAGUGUUACUCCGCGUUUUAUUUCCGUCCAUUUACAGUACCAGAACUGACCCUCGAUCACUACGGUGUCGUCGUAUUCCUCAGGACGGCCUCCUCGCGUCAGGAUCUGCUGUCGUGGGUCGUGCUCCUCGACUAGGGCGCCGCCCAGUGCGGCCAGGAACAACACUCGCCACAACAUGGCAACUUGAACUACAGGCCGGCCACUUCGCAAGCCUCUUUUAAGUGUGGCAGGCCUGCCACGUGGAGACACCAACCCGCGACCAGUUACCUAGGGUCAUCAACACGGAAUUCGCAGAGACCACAAUCCGUCUUCGUCCUCAGGUAAAACCUACUUUGUUCAUGGAGCCAGCACGUGUCUUCAGAAAAUGUUACAAAGCAAUGAACCAAGGGCGGAGACCUCGGGCCAUUUGGUAAUUAAUGUGUGGGUGUGUGUGGUAUUUGCCACUGCUACACUUCUGAGAAAAUGAUGGGGCAUUGACGCGGAUGUGUCAGGGGAAAUCAGCCCCAGUUUCACGCAGUCAAGCUUCGUGAAGCUCCGACGAGCUGACGAGUAGCGAUAAGAUUCUGGCUCACUCCUUUAGGGCUAAAAGGGGAGUAGCUUCUAUCAGUCACUGAACGGUCAUUACAUCUGAGCCAGGUCACACGAAGAGAAAGCGUUCGAUACAAAAUGGACACCUCUUCAUGCGAGAUUCGAGAAUAUGGCUGCUUCGUAGGACAGAUCUCCAUGUAAUAAACAAAACCCCUGAAUGAGGGUAUUCUGUUGUAGAUCUUAAAAUUUUAUUGAGCUAAAAUAACUUUCCUAGUGACACAAGCAAUAAAGACGAUUUUCAUACAAAAAUUGA
Molecule: non-coding RNA, 2523 nt
Organism: Zootermopsis nevadensis
Lineage: Eukaryota; Metazoa; Arthropoda; Insecta; Blattodea; Termopsidae
Source: RefSeq, a predicted model, not a curated record